RNA transcript from Camelus dromedarius (Arabian camel), 3340 nucleotides. It is a transcript of the gene named ZW10 interacting kinetochore protein, with no coding region annotated. The record is from RefSeq and is a predicted model, not a curated record. The transcript has 10 exons. NCBI's taxonomy places the organism in Eukaryota, Metazoa, Chordata, Mammalia, Artiodactyla, Camelidae.
CCAAAGUGGACAGAAAGUAGAACUGAAGCGCGGCCGGGGAAAGAUGGAGGCGGCGGAGACCGAGGCGGAGACUGCAGCCCUAGAGGCCCUGGCCAAGGUGGCAGACAUCCUGGAGCCUAUUGGUCUGCAGGAGGAGACAGAACUGCCUGCUCAUAUCCUGGCUGAGUUUGUGAUGGACUCCCGGAAGAAAGACAAGCUCCUCUGCAGCCAGCUUCAAGUAGUAGACUUCCUGCAGAACUUCUUGGUUCAGAAGAACACUGCCCAGGGCCUGGACCCCUUGGCUUCUGAAGACACGAGCCGGCAGAAGGCAAUUGAAGCCAAAGAGCAAUGGAAAGAGCUGAAGGCUACCUACCAAGAGCACAUGGAAGCCAUCACAAGUGCCCUAACCCAGGCACUGCCCAAGGUGGAGGAGGCCCGAAGGAAGCAGGCACAGCUCCAGGAGGCCCUUCAACAACUCCAGGCCAAGAAGCAAAUGGCCAUGGAAAAGCUCAGAAUAGCCCAGAAGGAGUGGCAGCUGCAACAGGAGAAGCGUCUGCAGCAUCUGGCAGAGGUUUCUGCAGAGGUGAGGGAGCGUCAGAAAGGAACUAAGCAGGAGCUUGAUCGACUGUAUCAGGAACUUGGAACUCUUAAACAGCAGGCAGGACAAGAGCAGGACAAGCUGCAGAGGCACCAGACCUUCCUCCAGCUGCUAUACACCCUACAGGGUAAGCUGCUGUUCCCCGGGGCAGAGGCAGAGAUACCACAAAAGCUGGAUCUUCCUAAGGAUAAGCCCCAGCAGCUGACCCAGCCCCAGAAGCAGAACACUCGGGACACCAUGGGGAGAGACAGAGAUGUGUCAUCCAAGGCUGACGGCCCACAGCCUGCUGGAGGUGCGAGCUUGCCAUGGCUUCCUGGGGAACAACAACAUGGGGAAGGAUCCUAGAACAGAUCAGACUCCAGCUCAGACCAUGGUGUCCUUGGACUGCAGUUGUCAGAUGGACUUUAGCAAGUACACCUAUGCAAGGAGUCAUUUAUUUCAAUCAUGAAGACACCUGGAAUCUACAGGAAACUCAUCUCAUUUUGUAGUACUGAUUGCUAUCAACAGUUUGCUAUUUUUCACCCAAGUAUCCUGUUUAUCUGUAAAGAAACUAUGUGACAGCCUGGUUCAUUUUUAAAUUGUGUAUUGGGAACAGAGUUCACACUUAGUACUGACUUAGAAUUCAAAAGAUGUUUGCUUCCUGGAUGUUUGUCUUGGUUUGGCAGUGUUAAAGUUUUGUGAUGAAAUGUGUACUUGUUUUGUUCAAUCUCGAUGGAAGUUUAUCUAAUAUUUUCUAUAUGGUUAAGUAUAUGAAAUUAUACAUAAUAUAAAACAGAAAAAUGGAAAAUCUAAAAUCCAGGCAUCACUGUCUUCACAGAAGUAUAUUUGUUUGGCAGAAAUCUGGGUAAAGAAUCUCCAUCCUUGUAACAAGUCGUCCAGAGAUUUCCAUAAAAUUUCAUACUUUAGUCCCCAAUUUCUUUAACCCCUUGAGACAUUUUGUAUUAACAUGUAAUAUCUGUCUUGCUGUCUCCUUGGUUUUACUCCUCCUGUGCUACUGAAUAAGAAACCAAACUCCUAGUACUGCUAAUGCUUUGUCAAGCAGUGGUUACUUGCUUCUUUGCAGAUGGUUUUUGCUGAAGAGCCCAUAUCUAGGAAAACAAAGAGAAAAUAACUUUCUAAUUCUCUUUGCUUAUUUAACCUAUGUAAUCCUAAGUAUAUCUAACAUGAGAAUAGCUCUGUGAAGACCAUCAGAGUCUCUUGAACAUUUUAUUUCUCUUCAUGAAAUGAUCUUUCAAAAAUCCACUUGAAUGUCCUGGACUAAAAGAAUGAAGGCCUGAGAGAAGUGAGUUAACCACUUUUAUGGUAUAACCAUAACACAAACAAUUCAAAUACCUUUUGAUCACAAACAUCAUUGAAUAUCUGGCAAUAGGUUUAUAAUUUGAGUUUAAACAAAAAGUUGCUGCCAUAUUAUGGUGUGCUGAAUUUUAAUUGGCUUUGAUCCCUCUAGGUGUAAAGUGUUCUGUAUAAAAGCUAGCACUAAUCGCCUUUCUCAGCUCCCACUGGUAUAACAGACAUCAGUAGUCAAUUCUCGCUCUUGGCCCUAACGGCCAUAAACAGGACAGACCAUUUUUUCCCAUCUCCCCUUCCACAUUACCCAAUUUAGUUAUUGCUAAUUGUUAGAUGUUGGCAUAUAACAUAAAAUAGUUUUGCUCUACCUACUAAAAUAUGUUAAAAAUCAACCUACCAUAAAUAAGCUAUAGAAAUACGUGAAAUGGGGAGCUUACUCCACAUGAGGUGAAAUAGAUCCAGAGAAUGUUUUGGUAAUAGUGGGAUGUGAGAGGACUUUGUAAGUGGUAUGUUUUGUCAAGGAGUUUUAGAGUAAACUACAUUCUAGACAAAGAGAAAAAAUUUCAGUUAUAGGAUAUAAAGAAUAAGAAUAUGUCCAGGAACAGCAAAAUGGUAAUGUGGCUGAAGGAAAGAUGUGUGUGGAUGUGUUACUGGGACAGAAUUGUAAUUGGACUGGAGAGGCAGUUGAACAAAUUACAGUAAAUAAUGUCCCCAAAAGUUUGAAGGUUAGAGACAAAAGCAAAUCAGUAUUGCAACUUUAGUUAAAUGUUUAUCCAUUUGCCUUCUUAGUUUUGAUUUUGUCACCUACUUGAUUGUUCUUUUCAGUGAAAAUGGCAGGUUUUUGUCAGUUUACAAUUUUUAAACAGUAUGGUAGUCAAUUAUAGGUAUUGAACAUCUUGAUGCUUUAGGCAUUAACUAAUUUAUUAUUGUUACCAUUCAUAAACUAAAUAACUAAGGAUUAGAUGCUUUGCCUAAAACAAACAAACAAACAGCUAUUCAAAUUCUGGGCCAUUAUGCUCAGAGUUUCUUUCUACAUGUCAUUGUUACCACACACAAAAAAUCUUCACUUUCUGAAAAGUCACUGUAAGAAUCCAAAUAUGUUAUCUAGGAAGACAGUGCAGCUAAGCCUUUAGCUCUUAAAGUUUGAUAUGCAAUAGAGUCAUGUGGAGGUGGGUUUUUUUUUUUUUAAGUUAUAAACCCCCCAUAUAAUCCAAUGUAUUUUUUUUAAUUGAAGUAUAGUUGAUUUACAAUGUUGUGUUAGUUUCUGGUGUACAGCAUAGUGAUUCAGUUAUACAUAUAUAUUUUUUUAUUAGAGGUUAUAUUAUAAGCUAUUGAAUAUAGUUCCUUGUGCUAUACAGUAGGACCUUGUUUAUCUGUUGUAUAUAUAGUAGCUUGUAUCUCCUAAUCCCAAACUCCUAAUUUAUCCCUCCACCCCCGUUUCCCAUUCGGCAACCAUAAAUUUGUUUUCGAUGUCAA